GUUCAUCAUGAAUAUACAGCUCCAAUAGGUUUUGCUGCGCCAUAUGCACACUGGUUAGAAAUCUUGAUCCUUGGGAUCCCCUCGUUUCUUGGGCCCGCUAUUGCGCCGGGUCAUAUGAUUACAUUCUGGUUGUGGAUUGCAUUCAGACAGAUUGAGGCUAUUGAAACUCACAGUGGAUAUGAUCUUCCUUGGAGUCUCACAAAGUAUGUACCUUUUUAUGGUGGAGCAGAUUACCAUGACUACCAUCACUAUGUUGGUGGCCA
RNAcentral lists this unclassified non-coding RNA (263 nucleotides) under Hevea brasiliensis (rubber tree). Lineage: Eukaryota; Viridiplantae; Streptophyta; Magnoliopsida; Malpighiales; Euphorbiaceae. The record is from RNAcentral.